GCUGGCGUAGCUCAGUCGGUAGAGCAGCGGUUUCGUAAAUCGCGGGUCGGAGGUUCAAUUCCUCUCGCCAGCUCCA
Molecule: transfer RNA, 76 nt
Filed under: Candidatus Omnitrophota bacterium
Lineage: Bacteria; Pseudomonadati; Candidatus Omnitrophota
Description: tRNA-Thr
Rfam family: tRNA
About the family: Transfer RNA (tRNA) molecules are approximately 80 nucleotides in length.
Source: RNAcentral